GCAUGCUCACGAUGAAGAUAUACCAUGGGGUAUACAGUUAGCAGCCGUGUAUGCUCUUUGUGACUUGAGUCCCAGCAAUCCAGCAGAAAUUUCCAAGAUCCUGGAAGCUUGGCGGAGAGAGGCCUCCAAAAGCGUUCCGUCUGCGAUUGUCAGCUGCCUAGAGGAAGUCAGUGCCCUGAGCACAGAGGAGCUUGGCUGACCUGGGAUGCCACUGAGGCUUGAGAAGUGCCUUGACACAUUUUGAACACAAAUAGUUUGAUCAGCUUUCAGAAUACAAAGGGAGGUUUCAAAACAAAAAGACAUAAAAUAGAUAAAACAGACCAGAGGCUCUCCUUAUUGUUUGGCAAGGAGACAGGAGAAACAAGCAGUCGCAUAGUCGUUUUUCCCUAAAUCUAAUACGUUUCACUUAAGGCUGUUGUGAUCUGUGACAUAUGGGUUAUAUUAUUGUGUCUUUGUCAAACAACAAAAACUUGAACUUAGCCCUUUUUUUGCUGCAGAAAGUGUCCUUUUAGUGGCUUCUUAAAAUUGAGUGGCAUUUUAUAAUGAACUUACCAAUAUAAAAACAUGAUUUGGUUCCUGAGCUGUUGUUGUUGGACUUGUGUUCCAAUGAGUGACUAGGAAAAAAUAAAUUGGCAAAAACCUAGAGUUUUCUGCUAUCUUUGCUGGAAAUGAGUUGCAAAAGUUUUUCUCAAGAUGUAGUGCGUAAUUGAUCAGAGCAAAACAUGCAGAGCCCUUAGCAGAAACCCACUUUAAUGCAUUUUCUUCAUAUCCCUAAAGUUCCUUAAAAAUAUGUGACAAUGCAUCAGGAAGAGGAGAACUGAAGAGUAGAAGUUCCCUUGCAGAUUUUUUUAUCAGUGACAUGUAAUGAGCAAUUCACAGAUGAGCGCAGGCAGAGCUCUGUGUGCCGUGUACAUAUGGACCGUGCUAUGAUGUGUCUCACAUUGGAUGAUAUUCCACUUUGGGAAUUUUAGUAUUUGUAUAUAGAAAAUGGGUUUAAUAACUCACCAUGGUUUUGAUUUGUCUUAUAUUCGUUAUUUCUUAAAACUCUUGUAUGUGUUUUUAU
This 1063-nucleotide long non-coding RNA is filed under the name Homo sapiens (human). Its description in RNAcentral is "HSALNT0083820". Lineage: Eukaryota; Metazoa; Chordata; Mammalia; Primates; Hominidae. The record is from RNAcentral.